AAGGCCUGACGCUAGGAGAGGAGUUCGCGGCCUAUCAGCUAGUUGGCGGGGUAACGGCCCACCAAGGCGAUGACGGGUAGCUGGUCUGAGAGGACGACCAGCCACACUGGAACUGAGACACGGUCCAGACACCUACGGGUGGCAGCAGUCGAGAAUUUUUCACAAUGGGGGAAACCCUGAUGAAGCGACGCCGCGUGGGGGAUGAAUGGCUUCGGCCCGUAAACCCCUGUCAUUUGUGAACAAACCUUUCCGCUGAACAAGCGGGAAGCUGAUUGUAACGGAAGAGGAAGGGACGGCUAACUCUGUGCCAGCAGCCGCGGUAAUACAGAGGUCCCAAGCGUUGUUCGGAUUCACUGGGCGUAAAGGGUGCGUAGGUGGCCGGGUAAGUCUGAUGUGAAAUCUCGGAGCUCAACUCCGGAACGGCAUUGGAUACUAUCCGGCUGGAGGGUCGGAAGGGGGACUGGAAUUCUCGGUGUAGCAGUGAAAUGCGUAGAUAUCGAGAGGAACACCAGUGGCGAAGGCGAGUCCCUGGACGACUCCUGACACUGAGGCACGAAAGCUAGGGGAGCAAACAGGAUUAGAUACCCUGGUAGUCCACGCCGUAAACGAUGGAUGCUAGCCGUUGUCGGGUUUACCCGUCAGUGGCGCAGCUAACGCAUUAAGCAUCCCGCCUGGGGAGUACGGUCGCAAGAUUAAA
This 697-nucleotide ribosomal RNA is filed under the name uncultured bacterium. RNAcentral describes it as "bacterial SSU rRNA". It matches the Rfam family "Bacterial small subunit ribosomal RNA", at positions 202 to 898 of the family's 1533-position model. The record is from RNAcentral.